Long non-coding RNA from Coturnix japonica (Japanese quail), 1665 nucleotides. RefSeq lists it as uncharacterized. Lineage: Eukaryota; Metazoa; Chordata; Aves; Galliformes; Phasianidae. The record is from RefSeq and is a predicted model, not a curated record.
CGUCACGACGCCCGGAAGAACAUGGCGCCCGCUUCCUAGUAGCGGACCACAAUUCCCAGCAGCCCCCCGCGGUGCCGAGCUCCUAUUGGCUGCUGGGGGCUCCCCGGGAAGGCGGCCUGGGUGUGUGGAGAGAAAAUGGCGCCGGGCUGGGAAACACCACAGGUGUACGGUGCCAUCAUUGUGAUGGGAGAGCACGCGGUGUCACCUCAGCCCUCACCACAACAAUUAACAUCACCAUGGAACACAUGUCACACAGCCCCUCCUGCUACAGCUGGGCUGGAUUCCUCACACCUUCACACCGCGGCCUACAAGUAACGACUGGCAGGUGAAGCUGUUCCACGGUUGCUGUAGAGAUCCUGAGCUGCUCACUGUCAUUGUUCGCUCCAGGGACCAAAUGGAACAGCAGAUAUGAGACAGAGCGAGCAUAAAGUGCGUUAAUUCAUAAUACAGGGAAGAGAUGUGCUGAUGGGGACAAUGCUGUGUCACAGAGCUGCCUACAGAACUACACUGCACCUAGACACUGUGCUGGGUGUGCAAGGCAUUGAACACCAUUGUGCUGUAUGGACAAGGCAUUGAACACCACUGUGCUGUAUGGACAAGGCAUUGAACACCACUGUGCUGUGUGUACGAGGCAUUGAACAUCACUGUGCUGUGUGUACGAGGCAUUGAACAUCACUGUGCUGUGUGUGCAAGGCAUUGAACACCAUUGUGCUGUGUGUAUGAGGCAUUGAGCAUCACUGUGCUGUAUGGACAAGGCACUGAACAUCACUGUGCUGUGUGGACAAGGCAUUGAACACCACUGUGCUGUAUGGACAAGGCAUUGAACACCACUGUGCUGUAUGGACAAGGCAUUGAACACCACUGUGCUGUGUGUGCAAGGCAUUGAACACUGUGCUGUGUGUGCAAGGCAUUGAACAACACUGUGCUGUAUGGACAAGGCAUUGAACACCACUGUGCUGUGUGGACAAGGCACUGAUGUGUUGUCCUCUGAAAGCACAAAGCAUUGCUGAAUGUGUAAGAAAAGAAAUAGGCAAAUGUUCCCCCAGAGGUUUGAAGGGAGGUGAAUCCGUGGCCUGGCAGCCUGCAUGGAGCUGUGGUUAAUGCAUGAAGAGCUACAGGAGCACUUGCAGGACUCUGAAGCUGUUGGAGGAAACCUGGGCAAAAAGGUGUAACUUGCAUCAACGCUGGUAGAAAAAUAACAACAAGAAAGAGGUGUUGGCAGGAAUCAAGAGGCUCUUGGCGACCUUCUCAAAACAAAGAGGUUCCUCCAACCCAAGGCUUAACAAGGUGGAUGAAGAACCAGAGCUUUGAUUAGUCUGAGAUACAAAGAAUAUUCUGCUGAAUCACUUGGCUUUGGUAGAGUCAAGCACUUUGCUCUGGUGAAUCACUACAAUUUGAAGAGCACAUUUUGGGGUGUGUGCUCUAAAUCUCGAUUAACUCGGCUGCUGGAUAGGGGCAGCAGGCUGCUCAAUGAUAGUAAUGCACUGCAGUGCAGGGAAGGAAAGGCAGAUCCCAUUCAAAUACCCCUGCUGGCAGAACGAUAUUACUUCACUUAGAGCUGGAAGGAGCAAGAUACAAGCAAAUGUUCUUAGGUCAGGGACCAGCACACUACAACUAUGAAAAUGUUUCUUCCUCCUUCAAUAAAUAUUUUGUAUCCAAAAUGGA